UAAGACAUAGUUCAGAGGUAGAAGCACUUGCCUUGCAUGUAUGAGGUCCUGGGUUCAAUCCCCAAUAUCGCAA
RNAcentral lists this transfer RNA (73 nucleotides) under Marmota marmota marmota (Alpine marmot). It matches the Rfam family "tRNA". Rfam says of the family: Transfer RNA (tRNA) molecules are approximately 80 nucleotides in length. Their secondary structure includes four short double-helical elements and three loops (D, anti-codon, and T loops). Further hydrogen bonds mediate the characteristic L-shaped molecular structure. tRNAs have two regions of fundamental functional importance: the anti-codon, which is responsible for specific mRNA codon recognition, and the 3' end, to which the tRNAs corresponding amino acid is attached (by aminoacyl-tRNA synthetases). tRNAs cope with the degeneracy of the genetic code in two manners: having more than one tRNA (with a specific anti-codon) for a particular amino acid; and 'wobble' base-pairing, i.e. permitting non-standard base-pairing at the 3rd anti-codon position. Lineage: Eukaryota; Metazoa; Chordata; Mammalia; Rodentia; Sciuridae. RNAcentral also lists the same sequence under 1 other name. The record is from Rfam by way of RNAcentral.